ACUCAGACACAGGUCCUGCNUGGUUAGUCGUCAGCUCGUGUCGUGAGAUGUUGGGUUAAGUCCCGUAACGAGCGCAACCUUGGUCCUUUANGUACNCNAGACGUUAUGGUGGGAACUCUAAGGAGACUGCCGGUGACAAACCGGAGGAAGGUGGGGAUGACUGUCAAGUCAUCAUGGGNCCUUCACGUGCCAGGGACUACACACAGUGCUACGAAUGGUACGGGUACAAAGGGUNGCCAAGCCGCGAGGGUGGAGGAUAANUACCCAUAAAAGCGAU
This 277-nucleotide ribosomal RNA is filed under the name Pseudomonas sp. Nfb3RS. Its description in RNAcentral is "partial 16S ribosomal RNA". It matches the Rfam family "Bacterial small subunit ribosomal RNA", at positions 1026 to 1286 of the family's 1533-position model. Lineage: Bacteria; Pseudomonadati; Pseudomonadota; Gammaproteobacteria; Pseudomonadales; Pseudomonadaceae. The record is from RNAcentral.